Molecule: long non-coding RNA, 441 nt
Filed under: Mus spicilegus (steppe mouse)
Lineage: Eukaryota; Metazoa; Chordata; Mammalia; Rodentia; Muridae
Description: lncRNA (ENSMSIG00000006750.1)
Source: RNAcentral
UAUUUUAGAAUGACUUUAGAGUCACAGAAAAGUUGCAGAGUUCCCAUACAUUCUUCAUCCAGAUCACCCCAGAGAUGUGAUUACCCAAACUGGAAGAGGCUAGGAAAGAGUAUCAGGUCGUCAGGAACGGGGAUGACAGUGUUGUGAAUCACCAGCUGUAAAUGGCAAUGGUGACUAGCUCAGACCAAGGUGACUAUGUACAAAUAAGCAGAGAACAGGAUCCUGAACCGCUGAACAAGGUUGUCCAUUCUGACAGAAGUUGGUCCAGUGGGUUUCUUCCUUGAGCACAGACAUGAUUCUGAGAAACACAGCAACAGCAACUAUGAAGUGAGGAGCAAUGAGGACACGGCCAAAGGACUCCUGAGAGGAAGCCCUGCCUUCACUGAGCUGAGCUGUUGACACAAUACUGCUGUGUUAGCCACGGGUUCCAGGACUCAGGCU